This is a non-coding RNA of Saimiri boliviensis boliviensis (Bolivian squirrel monkey), 3939 nucleotides long. The record is from RefSeq and is a predicted model, not a curated record. NCBI's taxonomy places the organism in Eukaryota, Metazoa, Chordata, Mammalia, Primates, Cebidae.
UGCUCCAAAGAGCAACAUGGCUCGGAAGCGCGCGGCCGGCGGGGGGCCGCGGGGACGCCAACUGCGCAGCCAGAAGUCCAAGGGCAAGAGCAAGGCCCGGCGUGAGGAGGAGGAGGAGGAGGAUGCCUUUGAAGAUGAGAAACCCCCAAAGAAGAGCCUUCUCUCCAGAGUUUCACAGGGAAAGAGGAAGAGAGGCUGCAGUGAUCCUGGGGGUUCAGCAGAUGGUCCAGCAAAAAAGAAAGUGGCCAAGGUGACUGUUAAAUCUGAAAACCUCAAGAUUAUAAAGGAUGAAGCCCUCAGCGAUGGGGAUGACGUUAGGGACUUUCCAAGCGACCUCAAAAAGGCACACCAUCCGAAGAGAGGGGCUACCCUGAAUGAAGACAGCAACGAAGAAGAGGAGGAAAGUGAAGAUGACUGGGAAGAGGUGGAAGAACUUAGUGAGCCUGUGCUAGGUGAUGGGAAAGAAAGCACAGCCUUCUCUCCAUCUCUUCUGCCUGUGAAGCCAGUGGAGAUAGAGAUUGAAACACCAGAGCAGGCGAAGACAAGAGAAAGAAGCGAAAAGAUAAAAAUGGAGUUUGAGACAUAUCUUCGGAGGGCAAUGAAACGUUUCAAUAAAGAGGUCCAUGAGGACACACAUAAGGUUCACCUUCUCUGCUUGCUAGCAAAUGGCUUCUAUCGAAAUAACAUCUGCAGCCAGCCAGAUCUGCAUGCUAUUGGCCUCUCCAUCGUCCCAUCCCGCUUUACCAGAGUGCCGCCUCGAGAUGUGGACACCUACUACCUCUCAAACCUGGUGAAGUGGUUCAUUGGAACAUUUACAGUUAAUGCAGAUCUUUCAGCCAGUGAGCAAGAUAACCUGCAGGCUACAUUGGAAAGGAGAUUUGCUAUUUACUCUGCUCGAGAUGAUGAGGAAUUGGUCCAUAUAUUCUUACUGAUUCUCCGGGCUCUGCAGCUCCUGACCCGGCUGGUAUUGUCUCUACAGCCAAUUCCUCUGAAGUCAGCAGCAGCAAAGGGAAAGAAACCUUCCAAGAAGAGAUUGACUGCGGAUCCUGAAGGCUCUUCGGAAUCUUCCAGCCAAGUUCUAGAGAACCACACCAAACCAAAGACCAGCAAAGGAACCAAACAAGAGGAAACCUUUGCUAAGGGCACCUGCAAGCCAAGUGCCAAAGGGAAGAACAAGGCAGACAGAAAGAAACGGAGCAAGCUCUCCUCCAGCGAGGAAGAUGAGGGCCUGGGAGACAAGCAGGAGGAAGCAACCCAGCGACGUCUGCAUGGCCGGGAGCGGCGGGUGGCCUCUAGGGUGUCUUAUAAAGAGGAGAGUGGGAGUGAUGAGGCUGGCAGUGGCUCUGAUUUUGAGCUCUCCAAUGGAGAAGCCUCUGAUCCCUCUAAUGAGGAUUCUGAGCCUUGUCCUCCAAAGCAGAGGAAGGUCCCCGCUCCUCAGGGGACAAAGGCUGGGUCCAAGAGUGUCUCCAAGACCCAACGUGGGAGCCAUCAUAAGGACCUAAGCUUGCCAGUGGCGUCCUCAGGUUCUUCAAAUAGUAAAAGAGGCAAAAUGUCUAGCGAUGGUGAGAAGGCAGAAAAAAGGAGCCCACCUGGUGUAGACCAGUGGCUAGAGGUGUUCUGUGAACAGGAGGAAAAGUGGAUAUGUGUGGACUGUGUGCACGGUGUGGUGGGCCAGCCUCUGACCUGUUACAGGUAUGCCACCAAGCCCAUGACCUAUGUGGUGGGCAUUGACAGUGAUGGCUGGGUUCGAGAUGUCACACAGAGGUACGACCCAGCCUGGAUGACAGUGACCCGCAAGUGCCGGGUUGAUGCUGAGUGGUGGGCUGAGACCUUGAGACCAUACCAGAGCCCGUUUUUGGACAGGGAGAAGAAAGAAGACAUGGAGUUUCAGGCAAAACACAUGGACCAGCCUUUGCCCACUGCCAUUGGCUUAUAUAAGAACCACCCGCUGUAUGCCCUGAAACGGCAUCUCCUGAAAUAUGAGGCCAUCUAUCCUGAGACAGCUGCCAUCCUUGGGUAUUGUCGUGGAGAAGCAGUCUACUCAAGGGAUUGUGUGCACACUCUACACUCCAGGGACACGUGGCUGAAGAAAGCAAGAGUGGUGAGGCUUGGAGAAGUGCCCUACAAGAUGGUGAAAGGCUAUUCCAACCGUGCCCGGAAAGCCCGACUUGCUGAGCCCCAGCUGCGGGAUGAAAAUGAUCUGGGCCUGUUUGGCUACUGGCAGACAGAGGAGUAUCAGCCCCCCGUGGCCGUGGAUGGGAAGGUGCCCCGGAACGAGUUUGGGAAUGUGUACCUCUUCCUGCCCAGCAUGAUGCCUGUUGGCUGUGUCCAGCUGAACCUGCCUCAUCUACACCGCGUGGCCCGCAAGCUGGACAUUGACUGUGUCCAGGCCAUCACUGGCUUUGAUUUCCAUGGCGGCUACUCCCAUCCUGUGACUGAUGGAUACAUCGUCUGUGAGGAAUUCAAAGACGUGCUCCUGACUGCGUGGGAAAAUGAACAGGCGAUCAUUGAAAAGAAGGAGAAGGAGAAAAGGGAGAAACGGGCUCUAGGGAACUGGAAGCUGCUGACCAAAGGUCUUCUCAUCAGGGAGAGGCUGAAGCGUCGCUAUGGGCCCAAGGUCCAUCCACACUGAGUCUGUCUGAAUCUGGAGCAUUCCAGACAGAGAGUGAAUUGGGAUCACAGACGUCAGAGAUCCAAAGAAGGGCCCUCUGAGACAGACACAUGGAAACUGAGGCUCCAGAAAGGAACUGGUCUGCCCAAGGUCAUAAAGUUUCCACCCCCUGGCAACUCACCUGGACUCCUCAGUUUCUACCCACUGGUACAUCUCCACAUGCCUCCGCAGUUUCACAGCCGGAAGAUGGACCCCAUAGUUUGGAUCAGACAAAAGCUUCACACAGAAUCAAACCAAAAAAAUAAAGGAUAAGAUUCAUGUCAGCCCAGAAAGACUGGCUCAGGGGAAACUGGACUGGAAGUGGAAGAACUAGAGGAGGGGGUGAGGGUGGAGAGCCCUAUGCUGCUUCACAGGGGGAUCAAGGAUGCUCCCCGUCCCAGGUUCUUCACAUGUACCACCUGUGACUCUGACCCUCACAGCAUGGACCUGGGCUGCACGGUCCAAUGGUAUGGUACCAACAGCAUACUGGGUAUUCAAAUAACAGGAAAGCGCUGGUGCCCAACAUAGUUUUGUGACCUUGCAGUGGACAUACAUGGUCAUCACAAUCAUGAGAGCACAUCCCUGAGUGCCAGCCACUGUACCAAGACGUUAGUUACCUAAUCUUACCAAAUCCUCAAGGCUGGCCACAAGCUUGUUAUCAUUACUGUUCCUAUUUUAUACACAGAGACACUGAGACUCAGGAUUGACGGGUCUACACAGCUGCUGAGCAGUGGAGGUGGGAAUCACACCCAUGUGUGACCAUCUCCAAGGCCUAUGUUUCCAAAUCCUCAGCCAGACAACGCCCAGGACGAGCCCCGAGCCACUGGCAGGUCAGCAUCCCUGCCAAGCCUACCUUGGAUGUCCGCAGGGAACCAAUGAUGUGCACCAGCCUUCCUUCAUUCUCCGGAGCCACAGUGUGGAUGCUGUCAGGGGACACCACAAGCGAGAGCCCCUCGGCCAGCGAGGUUGCCGUCUUCAAUGCGCGGCCCUGGAAGCAAAGGGAGUGGGGGUUUCAACAACUUGGGUGGCUCAGCCUGACUGUGCUUGUUGCAAAGUAUCAGGGUAGGAUGGGGACUCGGGGAGCACUGAGACCCAUCUACCCACUGUACAGCUGGAAAACUGAGGUCUAGCAAGUGGCGAGUGGACUAGAACCCAGAUUCCUGCUUUCCCAGGCAGACUUCUUCCUACUCCCACACUGGUUCCCACCAGCCCCUGCCAAUCUUAGUACCACCUCAAUGGUGGGAACAGCUGAUGUUUCUACCUGCCCUGUACCUUUCUCCCCAUUUUUA